UGUCCUGUGGUGUAAUUGGCAACACAUCAGAUUUUGGUUCUGAAAUUCAAGGUUCGAGUCCUUGCAGGACAA
Molecule: transfer RNA, 72 nt
Filed under: Flavobacteriales bacterium
Lineage: Bacteria; Pseudomonadati; Bacteroidota; Flavobacteriia; Flavobacteriales
Description: tRNA-Gln
Rfam family: tRNA
About the family: Transfer RNA (tRNA) molecules are approximately 80 nucleotides in length. Their secondary structure includes four short double-helical elements and three loops (D, anti-codon, and T loops).
Source: RNAcentral